Molecule: small RNA, 107 nt
Filed under: Marmota monax (woodchuck)
Lineage: Eukaryota; Metazoa; Chordata; Mammalia; Rodentia; Sciuridae
Source: RNAcentral
GCCGGAUAUGGUGGCACAUGCUUGUAAUCCCAGUGAUUUAGGAGGCUGAGGCAGGAGGAUUGCAUGUUCAAGGCCAGCCUUAACAACUUAGUGAUACCCUGUCUCAA